Engraulis encrasicolus (European anchovy) is the source of this 417-nucleotide long non-coding RNA. RefSeq lists it as uncharacterized. The record is from RefSeq and is a predicted model, not a curated record. The transcript is spliced from 3 exons. Lineage: Eukaryota; Metazoa; Chordata; Actinopteri; Clupeiformes; Engraulidae.
AGUUAUGAACUGGCUCAAUAAGGUGGCUGACGUUGGUAAAGGAAUAGCCAAUGGUGUGUGCCGAACAGUGAAAAUGUGGUGACGGAUGCAGGAUGCAGACAAGUGGAGCUUCAGCAGCAACAACAGCACACACACGCACGCACACACACACACACGCACACAGUCACAUUCAAACAAUUCAAUUCAAUUUAAUAUAGUUCAAUUCAGUAAACUUCAAAAAGCAUAUGCAUACAUGUCUUUCUCUCUCUCUCUCUCUCUCUCUCUCUCUCUCUCUCUCUCUCUCUCUCUCUCUCUCUCUCUCUCUCUCUCUCUCUCUCUCUCUCUCUCUUUCGCUCUCUCUCUUUGUUCUUUGUGGUGUGUUUUUUUUUCUCUAAAUGGUGUGCGUUGAUGCAUGCGUGUGUUUGUGUAUUGUGUGUA